UACGUAGGGUGCGAGCGUUGUCCGGAAUUAUUGGGCGUAAAGGGCUCGUAGGCGGCCUGUCGCGUCGGGAGUGAAAACUCAGGGCUUAACCCUGAGCCUGCUUCCGAUACGGGCAGACUAGAGGUAUGCAGGGGAGAACGGAAUUCCUGGUGUAGCGGUGGAAUGCGCAGAUAUCAGGAGGAACACCGGUGGCGAAGGCGGUUCUCUGGGCAUUACCUGACGCUGAGGAGCGAAAGUGUGGGGAGCGAACAGG
This 253-nucleotide ribosomal RNA is filed under the name uncultured bacterium. Its description in RNAcentral is "partial 16S ribosomal RNA". It matches the Rfam family "Bacterial small subunit ribosomal RNA", at positions 524 to 776 of the family's 1533-position model. The record is from RNAcentral.